This 565-nucleotide ribosomal RNA is filed under the name Aspergillus flavus. RNAcentral describes it as "eukaryotic LSU rRNA". The stretch from base 182 to 335 matches the Rfam family "5.8S ribosomal RNA". Lineage: Eukaryota; Fungi; Ascomycota; Eurotiomycetes; Eurotiales; Aspergillaceae. The record is from RNAcentral.
CGGAGCGUAGGGUUCUAGCGAGCCCAACCUCCCACCCGUGUUUACUGUACCUUAGUUGCUUCGGCGGGCCCGCCAUUCAUGGCCGCCGGGGGCUCUCAGCCCCGGGCCCGCGCCCGCCGGAGACACCACGAACUCUGUCUGAUCUAGUGAAGUCUGAGUUGAUUGUAUCGCAAUCAGUUAAAACUUUCAACAAUGGAUCUCUUGGUUCCGGCAUCGAUGAAGAACGCAGCGAAAUGCGAUAACUAGUGUGAAUUGCAGAAUUCCGUGAAUCAUCGAGUCUUUGAACGCACAUUGCGCCCCCUGGUAUUCCGGGGGGCAUGCCUGUCCGAGCGUCAUUGCUGCCCAUCAAGCACGGCUUGUGUGUUGGGUCGUCGUCCCCUCUCCGGGGGGGACGGGCCCCAAAGGCAGCGGCGGCACCGCGUCCGAUCCUCGAGCGUAUGGGGCUUUGUCACCCGCUCUGUAGGCCCGGCCGGCGCUUGCCGAACGCAAAUCAAUCUUUUUCCAGGUUGACCUCGGAUCAGGUAGGGAUACCCGCUGAACUUAAGCAUAUCAAUAAGCCGGAGGA